GAGGCCUGCCUGCCCAGUGACAAACGUUCAACGGCCGCGGUAUCCUGACCGUGCAAAGGUAGCAUAAUCACUUGUUCCUUAAUUGGGGACUGGAAUGAAUGGCCUCACGAGGAUUCAACUGUCUCUUACCUCUAAUCAGUGAAAUUGACCUCCCCGUGAAGAGGCGGGGAUACAACAACAAGACGAGAAGACCCUAUGGAGCUUUAAUUUUCUGUCUUAACUACUAAAUAACUAACCCUACUGGGAUAAAAAAAAAGAGAAGUAAGUCAGUAAUUUCGGUUGGGGAGACCUCGGAGAAUAAAACAACCUCCGAAUGAUUUUAACCAAGACAAACAAGUCAAAGUAUUAAAAAUCAAAUUGACCCAAUUCAUUUGAUCAACGGACCAAGUUACCCUAGGGAUAACAGCGCAAUCCUAUUCAAGAGUCCAUAUCGACAAUUAGGGUUUACGACCUCGAUGUUGGAUCAGGACAUCCCAAUGGUGCAGCAGCUAUUAACGGUUCGUUUGUUCAACGAUUAAAGUCCUACGUGAUCUG
RNAcentral lists this ribosomal RNA (534 nucleotides) under Microtus thomasi (Thomas's pine vole). RNAcentral describes it as "partial 16S ribosomal RNA". It matches the Rfam family "Bacterial large subunit ribosomal RNA", at positions 1850 to 2607 of the family's 2925-position model. Lineage: Eukaryota; Metazoa; Chordata; Mammalia; Rodentia; Cricetidae. The record is from RNAcentral.